UGGCGUAACAAAGGGAAGCGAAGGGGUGACCCGGAGCGAAUCCCAAAAAUAACGUCUCAGUUCGGACUGUAGUCUGCAACCCGACUACACGAAGCUGGAAUCGCUAGUAAUCGCGGAUCAGCAUGCCGCGGUGAAUACGUUCCCGGGCCUUGUACACACCGCCCGUCACACCAUGGGAGUUUGUAACGCCCAAAGUCGGUGGCCUAACCUUUAUGGAGGGAGCCGCCUAAGGCGGGACAGAUGACUGGGGUGAAGUCGUAACAAGGUACC
RNAcentral lists this ribosomal RNA (270 nucleotides) under uncultured bacterium. RNAcentral's name for it is "partial 16S ribosomal RNA". It matches the Rfam family "Bacterial small subunit ribosomal RNA", at positions 1231 to 1500 of the family's 1533-position model. The record is from RNAcentral.